RNAcentral lists this ribosomal RNA (435 nucleotides) under uncultured bacterium. Its description in RNAcentral is "partial 16S ribosomal RNA". It matches the Rfam family "Bacterial small subunit ribosomal RNA", at positions 29 to 507 of the family's 1533-position model. The record is from RNAcentral.
AGCGAACGCUGGCGGCAGGCUUAACACAUGCAAGUCGAACGGGCAUCUUCGGAUGUCAGUGGCAGACGGGUGAGUAACACGUGGGAACGUACCCUUCGGUUCGGAAUAACUCAGGGAAACUUGAGCUAAUACCGGAUACGCCCUUUUGGGGAAAGGUUUACUGCCGAAGGAUCGGCCCGCGUCUGAUUAGCUUGUUGGUGGGGUAACGGCCUACCAAGGCGACGAUCAGUAGCUGGUCUGAGAGGAUGAUCAGCCACACUGGGACUGAGACACGGCCCAGACUCCUACGGGAGGCAGCAGUGGGGAAUAUUGGACAAGGGGCGCAAGCCUGAUACAGCCAUGCCGCGUGAGUGAUGAAGGCCUUAGGGUUGUAAAGCUCUUUUGUCCGGGACGAUAAUGACGGUACCGGAAGAAUAAGCCCCGGCUAACUUCGUG